Molecule: long non-coding RNA, 1162 nt
Organism: Hevea brasiliensis (rubber tree)
Lineage: Eukaryota; Viridiplantae; Streptophyta; Magnoliopsida; Malpighiales; Euphorbiaceae
Exons: 3
Source: RefSeq, a predicted model, not a curated record
UAUUAACAGGAUGUGCGUUGGGAUAGUACCAUUUUCACUGCUGCCUUACCGCUAACGUCUCUGCUCAACUCAGAUUCCCCUGCCAUAUCUGCUUUCAUCUCUGCACAACUCAGAUUCCUGUCUCUCGUCUUCUACUUCGACGCAGCCUCCAACAUCCCCAGCGACAAGAGGACGCUAUUUUAAAUUGGGGAAGUUCAUUUCCUUGGGCAAGUUCAUUGACCUGGUGGUGAACACGGAGAAGACGAUUUUCUCUGCUGCUGAAAUUUUGCAAUGGCUUUUCUGUUUAACAAAUUUCAAGAGGCAGUGAAAGUUCUUGCAAAAAGUCCUACAUUUGCCAGAGAUCCAAGGCUUUGAAGCAGACAAAUCGCCUUUUCCUAUAUACCUGGUAACUGUCUAUUUGUUAUUGAAAUGAUCACUGGUUAUAAUUUGCCAUUUUUUUAAUGUAGAAUCUAUGUAGACAAUGGGAACUUCACUCAUAUUAUCGUUUACUAUUUGCUAGAACUUCAUUCACAUUAUCAUUUAGCAUUUGUAAUAACCAAGUAAACAUUACCAACUCAGUAGUCCUGUCACAUUUAAGAUGUGCUGCUUAAGUGUUAAUUUACUGUUUUCUCUCAUUCUAGGGUCUCGCAUCAUUUAUUUCUGCAGUAAUUUAUCUUCAUUGCACAUUUGGAUCAGACUCUACAUUGCACAUUUAAUGUUGAUGUUUCUCUUUACAAUCUGAUCUCAGCCUCCUACAUUGAUUUUACCACUUGCAACCAAAUUCAAGGAAUUUGGUAUCAUCAACCAGUGAGUAUGAGAUAUAGAGAGAGAAAGCAUACCAACUUCGGACACGAGAGCAGUGGAUAUGGGAACUGAGCAGUGAAUGAAAGAAACAAGGAGUGAACUCAUGUUUAAGCUGCGCCUGGAAUGGAGUUUGAAGUGGCAAUCAAUAUCAAUGAUGGUGGUUUGGUGUUGAUAUUUGAUAGUGCUGUUCUUGGUCUUGUUGAUGGGUCAAGACAUUCCUGUUUUAAAUGGAGAGGAGGCAGGCUUUCCACCUGGGAACAACUCUGGGGAAGGCUUUAGUCCACUCUCCUUGUGAAGCGCGUGCAUUUUCUUAUUUGCAACGGUAAUAAAUGUAUUUAAUUAUAAUUUAAUAAAAAGCUUAACCCACAGGUUUGAUUUA